RNAcentral lists this unclassified non-coding RNA (237 nucleotides) under plant metagenome. RNAcentral describes it as "partial contains small subunit ribosomal RNA, internal transcribed spacer 1, and 5.8S ribosomal RNA". The stretch from base 189 to 237 matches the Rfam family "5.8S ribosomal RNA", at positions 1 to 49 of the family's 154-position model. The record is from RNAcentral.
GCUCCGUAGGUGAACCUGCGGAGGGAUCAUUACAAGUGACCCCGGUCUUACCACCGGGAUGUCCAUAUCCCUUUGUUGUCCGACUCUGUUGCCUCCGGGGCGACCCUGCCUUCGGGCGGGGGCUCCGGGUGGGCACUUCAAACUCUUGCGUAACUUUGCAGUCUGAGUAAACUUAAUUAAUAAAUUAAAACUUUUAACAACGGAUCUCUUGGUUCUGACAUCGAUGAAGAACGCAGC